GAAUAGAUACCCAGGUAGUCCACGCCGUAAACGAUGGAUACUAGCUGUUGGAGGUAUCGACCCCUUCAGUAGCGAAGCUAACGCGUUAAGUAUCCCGCCUGUGGAGUACGGUCGCAAGACUAAAACAUAAAGGAAUUGACGGGGAUCAGCACAAGCGGUGGAUUAUGUUCUUUAAUUCGAUGAUAACCGAUGAGCCUUACCAGGGGUUUGACAUCCAGGAAAGCACUACGAAAGUAGAGUGUGCCUUUUGGAAUCCUGUGACAGGUGUUGCAUGGCCGUCGUCAGCUCGUGUCGUGAGAUGUUUGGUUAAGUCCAUCAACGAGCGCAACCCUUGCAAGUAGUUGUAUUUUUCUACUUGGACUGCUCUAGUAAUAGGGAGGAAGGAGGGGAUGAUGUCAGGUCAGUAUUACCCUUACACCCUGGGCUAGAAACAUAAUACAAUGGCCGGUACAGUGCGCAGCGAAGCAGUGAUGUGGAGCAAAUCGCAUCAAAGCCGGUCCCAGUUCGGAUAAGAGGCUGAAACUCGU
This 527-nucleotide ribosomal RNA is filed under the name uncultured bacterium. RNAcentral's name for it is "bacterial SSU rRNA". It matches the Rfam family "Bacterial small subunit ribosomal RNA", at positions 776 to 1315 of the family's 1533-position model. The record is from RNAcentral.